AGAGUUUGAUCCUGGCUCAGGAUGAACGCUAGCGGCAGGCCUAAUACAUGCAAGUCGAACGGAAUCAGGUAGCAAUACUUGGUUUAGUGGCGCACGGGUGCGUAACGCGUAUGCAACCUACCUUUUAUUGGGGGAUAGCCCGAGGAAACUCGGAUUAAUACCGCAUAACAUCACGAGAGGGCAUCUGAUUGUGAUUAAAGCUGAGGCGAUAAAAGAUGGGCAUGCGUGACAUUAGCUAGUUGGUCGGGGUAACGGCCCACCAAGGCGACGAUGUCUAGGGGUUCUGAGAGGAUGGUCCCCCACACUGGUACUGAGAUACGGACCAGACUCCUACGGGAGGCAGCAGUAGGGAAUAUUGGGCAAUGGGCGAAAGCCUGACCCAGCCAUGCCGCGUGCAGGAAGAAGGCCUUCUGGGUUGUAAACUGCUUUUAUCUAGGAAGAAACGACCCUUGCGAGGGGGCAUUGACGGUACUAGGUGAAUAAGCACCGGCUAACUCCGUGCCAGCAGCCGCGGUAAUACGGAGGGUGCAAGCGUUGUCCGGAUUUAUUGGGUUUAAAGGGUGCGUAGGCGGCUUAAUAAGUCAGUGGUGAAAUCCCAUCGCUCAACGAUGGAACUGCCAUUGAUACUGUUAGGCUUGAGUACAGACGAGGUAGGCGGAAUUGAUGGUGUAGCGGUGAAAUGCAUAGAUACCAUCAAGAACACCGAUUGCGAAGGCAGCUUACUAGACUGUAACUGACGCUGAGGCACGAAAGCGUGGGGAGCGAACAGGAUUAGAUACCCUAGUAGUCC
This 790-nucleotide ribosomal RNA is filed under the name uncultured bacterium. RNAcentral describes it as "bacterial SSU rRNA". It matches the Rfam family "Bacterial small subunit ribosomal RNA", at positions 8 to 796 of the family's 1533-position model. The record is from RNAcentral.